GCGUCUGUGGUGAAAUUGGUAUAUACAGGGGAUUUAAAAUCCCCCGCUUAAUUGCAUGUCGGUUCGAGUCCGAUCAGACGCACAA
RNAcentral lists this transfer RNA (85 nucleotides) under Salmonella enterica subsp. enterica serovar Braenderup. RNAcentral's name for it is "tRNA-Leu". It matches the Rfam family "tRNA". From Rfam's summary of the family: Transfer RNA (tRNA) molecules are approximately 80 nucleotides in length. Their secondary structure includes four short double-helical elements and three loops (D, anti-codon, and T loops). Lineage: Bacteria; Pseudomonadati; Pseudomonadota; Gammaproteobacteria; Enterobacterales; Enterobacteriaceae. The record is from RNAcentral.